UCGUCAUUAUCUUUUUAUAUAUUUUAAGUUUUGGUCUCUGAAACUUUAUGGCCGUUUUAAUAUCCUCUCUUCAUAUAAUCUGCUAUUUCUAAAUGUUUCCCAGAAUCCAUCUCAUUUAUUUUUCAUUAAAAUCAGCAUGUAAAUAGUUUGUUAAAGUUGUGACAUUUGUAUCCUGUUAGAGUUGUGAAUUGUGACUUAAAAAAUAACUAAUGGCCUGUCUUAACUCUAUUAACAAUCAGUUAAAUUUCAGAUGUUUCCCUUUUUUAAUCAAGCGGAUUUUGUAUGAAAAUAGAUUUCUGUUUCAAGAUUGUUCAUAGUCGAUACUCUCUCGCAUAGUAUGUUUCACAUAGCUGGAAGAAUCUUCAACUUCAUCUUCAUUUUGUGUGUCAACCAGAUCUCACUAUCUUGUUGGUUCUUUUCAGUGAUGAUGACUUUUCCUAAAAAAGAUAUUUCUGUGUGAGCUGUGAUCACAUAUUGCCACUAUUUGUUUUUAAAUUUGUCAUGCCACAAUAUUUGAAGUCUCUUGAUUAAAAUAAGUUAUGUUAAUCCUACUUAGGCCUCUUGUCUAGAUACGUAUUUAAUGCAUAGUCAUUUUGCUGUCGAGCAUAGGGAACUCUUUUCUUAUAGUAAGCUGAAGAUGAAUAACACAAUUUGAAUAGAUGUUGCUGUUUUCUCUCUUUCGAUUGUUCUUAUAUGAUAAUAAUGUUAUACAAACUAAAGUCCCUAUACAACUACAAAUGUAGCCCUUUUCUUUCUCUAUUCAACCCAAAUUAAAUAUCGAUUUGUUUAGUGGAUUCAAUAUUAUUUAGGGGUAGCAACUUCAAAUGAGUAACUCUUCAACUGGUUGUUUCUAUGUUCACACGUUGAGUCGCAAGCAUGAAGUUUCAGUAAAACUUGUUUUUAUUUUUGGAAUCUAUCCUCCAUAAACUGAGUUUACGGGAAUUAAAGUGCCCUCCCACACUAUGUAUGGUUUUAAUAUUUCAGUGGUUAUCCUUUAAAUGUUAUUUUCUGUUUUGCUAGCAUGCUCCGAUGAAUACGGUGCUACAAACAAAGUACUCUUCCUAUGUCUAGAAUUACUCGUGUUAGACCGAUAAGUUUGAAAUUCGUUAGAGUAACUCCUUCUUGAGUGAAAAUUGCUUUGCCAUAAUCAUGUUUAAUAAAUUUGGUUCUGUAAUAUGAGUUUGCACCUAUUUUAGCAUCAAGGAAGAUCAAUUUGUCUUUCAAAAGAAAUCUUAGAAUCCCCCCCGACUCAAUCUUGCAUUCCCUUAACACUAAUUAUACAUAUUAUUUCUUGAAGAUAUUUAAUCCUAUCUAAAUUAAUCUAUUUGGAUUUGGACUUGCUUGUUAAGAUAUGGUAGUGUUGAAACUUGUGUCAAGCUAAAUCUGAUCAUUGAGUUUGAUAAACCACGAUUCUUGUAAGUCUCCGUAACAUCAUACAUAUUUUCAUUUGAUAGUUGUUUCUUUUAAAAUCCUAACCCAUCUUGAAUUUGUCUACAUGGUUAAAUUUAGGAACUUUCAAAUAUUUUUACUCUUUCCAUAGUGACUAGAAGAAUUCUCUGUUAAUGCAUAAUACUUUGAAUCUGAUGUAGUCGAAUUUAGUUCCCUCUAUUGAUAAUCAAAGUUAUUUGUCGCUUAAGCAUCUACAACAUAUUAUUAACUUGACUCUUGUCUAGUGAAUUUAUCUUGAUUGUGCUAUAAAGUUUGACCCCACCUUGUAUUUUUUACUUGGCUCUAUUUUAAUCUUUGUCAUCAACUCCAUGCUCUGUUUCAGCUUUUCUUUUUAUAAAAAAAACGAAAAAACUUUUCCUUUCAAAUUUUGAUCAGUAUGCUUACAAUUUUUGUGUUUCAUGAAUGGUUCUGUGUUUAAGAGGAUUGAAAUAUUCUCCUGUUACUAGCUAGUACAGUACUGCAAAUAUGACAUAACAGUAGUCGUUAAGUUUCAACUUUAUAAAUCAUUCAACUGUAUGAUAAUUGUGCUUAACUUUCCCAUAAAUUAGAACAUCUAUAAUGGAACGAGAACUCAUUAAUAUGUUAGUUACGGUCUUCCUCUGGUUUAGUGUUUUUUUUAUACUUUGUUAGCAAGUUAAUUACUAGUUUACCGUGGAAAUGGGAUUAAAGGUGAAAAAUAUUCAUUAUCCUUUCUUUAGGAAGUCAUGUGUGUUAAUACUGUGAUAAUUAUUUCUCUCAUUUUUUUUACAUGUACACUCGGGCCCCCUUUUGGAGUUAUUAUAUGAGCCCUUUUGGAGUUAUUAUAUGACUCCAUCUCUUUCCAAACAGAGAAGUGAAUAAUAGCCACAUAAACUCGUAUCUAGCAUCUUCAUCACGUUAAAUAGCGUCCAACGCUUCCUCUCCACUUCAAUGUUUCACGUGUUUUAUGUAUACAUGAAUCUGCAUUUUUUGGGUCUUCUUCUUCGUGAUUUGUACGUUUCUGCAGCUACAGUGGACAAACUACAAAUUGGUCAUCAAGCUCAGCUCACUGCUCAAAAAAGAGGAUAUUCCAUAUUUAAUGGAUAGUGGAGAUAAAAGUUGGAUGAGUUUCCGGAGAUCCACCAAUGAGUAUAUCAGUGGUGUGAAUAACUUUCUUUAUACAACUUUUGAAUUAGCUUCCAGAGGAUAUUAUAUAUUGUGUCCUUGCAAAAAGUGUGCUAAUUGUAAAUGGCAUCAACAAAAUGUUGUACAGGAACACUUGGUUGUUUUUGGGUUUGUACAAGGGUACACCAAAUGGAUUUUUCAUGGGGAAAGUAUUUCCUUGAGAAAUAUUCCAGGUCAUAAUAAGGAAGGUUCCAACAUGCGUGACAAUAUUGAUGGCCUACUUUAUGAUACUUUUAGAGAUGUUGCAGGUGAUUUGGGGCUUGAGGGAGUGAGAGAGGGUUUAUCCGAAGAUGCAAAGAAAUUUUAUAAACUACUGGAGUAAGGUAAACAAAAGUUAUAUUCUGGGCGUAAGAAUUUCUCUUUAAUGAAUUUCACCAUUCGAUUAUUCUUGUUCUAAUGCAUUCAUGGUUACAGUAAUGUGGCCUUUGGAGACUUGCUAGACCUGUUAAGAGAGGCAUUUCCAUUUGCUCAUAUACUCGAGUCGUUUCACAAAGCAAAAAAUGUGAUGAAAGAUUUGGAUCUUGAUUAUGAAAAAAAUACAUGCAUGCCCUAAUGAUUGCAUAUUCUUUUUGAAGGAAAAUGACAAAGAAAAUAAUUGUUGUGUUUGUGGCUCGUCGAGAUGGAUGACUGUUAGUGAUCCUUUGACUAAUGAAAGCACCAAAAUUCCUGCAAAGGUUUUAAGGUACCUUCCCUUAAAACCUAGGCUUCAAAGCUUACCCAUGUAUCCUGAAACAGUUUCAAAUAUGAAAUGGCAUGAUACUGAACGACCGAAAGAUGGAAAUAUAAGGCAUGCGGCUGCCGUGGAAGCUUGGAAGAAUUUUGAUUCUUUGCACGAAGAUUUUGCUAGAGAUCCUCGUAAUGUUAGAUUGGGUUUUUCAAGUGAUGGUUUCAACCCGUUUCGAAACAUGAAUAUGAAUUUGUUUUUCAUAUUUACUCUUUAUGUGUGUACUUGAAUUCUAUUGUUUUUUUAAUAAUAAAACUGCAUUAUAUCUAAGAUGGAGAAUAUUGAAAUGCAACAAAAAGAAAAUGGAAAUGAGACAAUUGAUGCAUUUUCUUCUAUCAUGGGAUUAGAACAUCCAGGACGUUUGAGAUUAUAUGGAAGAAGGGUUACAAAAACUACUUUAAAAGGGAAAGUGGGACGUUUUGAAGCCUUGUCAAAUGCAACAAAUGACCUUGUGAAAAAGAUGGAACAAAGACUGAUGAGAAUGGAGGAAAAAAUUGAGGAACAGAAAGAACAAUAGGACCAACAAAAGACCACGAUGCGACAAGAAUUGUAGAAGAUGUCAUAAAAAAACUUCAACAUUCAGGCCUACCAAUUGAUGCUAAUGUUCUAGCAACAUUACUUGAUGUUUCGUCAACACAAAAAACAAAAAUUCAAUCAGUCCAUCGUUCAUCAAUCUGUAGCAACAAUUAAGUUGAACAAAAUGAUGAGACAAGCGGGGAUGAAAGCAGCGAAGACCUUACUUAAAAAUUGGUUUUUACAAAUAUUCUAGCACUAUUUAACUUUUUGGCCUAAUUUUGUGAACUUAAAUGAAUGCCAACUCUUGGACAUUCUAACACUAUUUUUACUUUUUGGCCUAAUUUUCUGUAGUUGAAUGAAUGUCAACUCUCAAACAUUCUAGGAAUAUUUUAAUGUUUAGACUUAGUUUUUGUGAACAUCAAUGUAUGUUAACUCUUGAUGUACAAAGAUCAUAUGUUUUUAUAUAUAAUAUAUGAAUUCUACAAGUUGAUGUA
Molecule: RNA transcript, 4326 nt
Organism: Solanum pennellii
Lineage: Eukaryota; Viridiplantae; Streptophyta; Magnoliopsida; Solanales; Solanaceae
Exons: 5
Source: RefSeq, a predicted model, not a curated record